CCUACGGGAGGCAGCAGUAGGGAAUCUUCCACAAUGGGCGAAAGCCUGAUGGAGCAACGCCGCGUGGGUGAAGAAGGUCUUCGGAUCGUAAAACCCUGUUGUUAGAGAAGAAAGUGCGUGAGAGUAACUGUUCACGUUUCGACGGUAUCUAACCAGAAAGCCACGGCUAACUACGUGCCAGCAGCCGCGGUAAUACGUAGGUGGCAAGCGUUAUCCGGAUUGAUUGGGCGUAAAGGGAACGCAGGCGGUCUUUUAAGUCUGAUGUGAAAGCCUUCGGCUUAACCGGAGUAGUGCAUUGGAAACUGGGGGACUUGAGUGCAGAAGAGGAGAGUGGAACUCGAGGUGUAGCGGUGAAAUGCGUAGAUAUAUGGAAGAACACCAGUGGCGAAAGCGGCUCUCUGGUCUGUAACUGACGCUGAGGUUCGAAAGCGUGGGUAGCAAACAGGAUUAGAUACCCGGGUAGUC
RNAcentral lists this ribosomal RNA (465 nucleotides) under uncultured bacterium. RNAcentral's name for it is "partial 16S ribosomal RNA". It matches the Rfam family "Bacterial small subunit ribosomal RNA", at positions 338 to 795 of the family's 1533-position model. The record is from RNAcentral.